Molecule: ribosomal RNA, 253 nt
Filed under: uncultured bacterium
Lineage: Bacteria
Description: partial 16S ribosomal RNA
Rfam family: Bacterial small subunit ribosomal RNA
Source: RNAcentral
UACGGGGGAGCAAGCGUUGUUCGGAUUUACUGGGCGUAAAGGGCGCGUAGGCGGCCACCGCAAGUCGGUUGUGAAAUCUCUGGGCUUAACCCAGAAAGGUCAACCGAUACUGCGGGGCUAGAGUGCAGAAGGGGCAACUGGAAUUCUCGGUGUAGCGGUGAAAUUCGUAGAUAUCAGGAGGAACACCAGUGGCGAAGGCGGCUUCCUGGACACCAACUGACGCUGAGACGCGAAAGCGUGGGGAGCAAACAGG